UUUAUUAAAGUCCGCUUGAGUUGCAUCUUUUGUUCUUUGCAGCUUCAGAAUGCAUUCUGAUUGGAUACAACUCUUAUCUGGACUGAUAAGCAACAAAGAGGAAAGCCAAAUGGCAAUCUCUUAAGAGGCAAAAGCAAAAUCAUCCCUCCAUAUCUCAACCAUAUUAGACCUAGGGCAAGGGAAUCGGCCCGGUCUCCAGUCCAGCCCUGGGAGAAGCCAGCACGAGAUGUGACUCCUUCAUACACCAACCCUGGGUGAAGCCUGCCGCCCCUCAGCAGCCUCCCCUGUCUCUAGAAGCCGGCUCACCUCUUCAGCAAACCCAUGACAAUGAGACUAGCCACCACAUUUACGAACCCACUGUGUGCUGGGUAUUGUGCUCCAGAGUCUACUUCCUUUUUCAUCUAAGGAAACACGUAUCAGAUCUGGGACAUAGGACAGCUUGGAUGUAAUGGCAGCCGGAUGGUACCGAGAAAGCAAAAAAAUAAAAGUCAAGAUAGAAACUAUUAUCCCAGAAUGGCAUGCUGAAGAGGCACUGGCAACGAUAAGGACACAGCUCUUCUGCCAGGACCAAAUUUCCAACUACCGCUGCAGGAUCUGCUGGGCUUCGUUGGAAACAAAUAAACAAACAUAAGCCAACUCGCCCUCAUUUGUUUCCAUCAGCUCAAUAAAAUCGGCCGCCUCCUACUUGAGAGUCA
RNAcentral lists this long non-coding RNA (695 nucleotides) under Felis catus (domestic cat). Its description in RNAcentral is "lncRNA (ENSFCAG00000045189.2)". The record is from RNAcentral. Lineage: Eukaryota; Metazoa; Chordata; Mammalia; Carnivora; Felidae.